This 1287-nucleotide ribosomal RNA is filed under the name metagenome. RNAcentral's name for it is "bacterial SSU rRNA". It matches the Rfam family "Bacterial small subunit ribosomal RNA", at positions 242 to 1520 of the family's 1533-position model. The record is from RNAcentral.
UAGCUAGUUGGUGAGGUAAAGGCUUACCAAGGCGACGAUCUGUAGCGGGUCUGAGAGGAUGAUCCGCCACACUGGAACUGAGACACGGUCCAGACUCCUACGGGAGGCAGCAGUGGGGAAUUUUGGACAAUGGGGGCAACCCUGAUCCAGCCAUGCCGCGUGAGUGAAGAAGGCCUUCGGGUUGUAAAGCUCUUUCGGCCGGGAAGAAAUCGCAUGGGCCAAUACCCUGUGUGGAUGACGGUACCGGAAUAAGAAGCACCGGCUAACUACGUGCCAGCAGCCGCGGUAAUACGUAGGGUGCGAGCGUUAAUCGGAAUUACUGGGCGUAAAGCGUGCGCAGGCGGUUUUGUAAGACAGGCGUGAAAUCCCCGGGCUUAACCUGGGAACUGCGUUUGUGACUGCAAGGCUAGAGUACGGCAGAGGGGGGUGGAAUUCCACGUGUAGCAGUGAAAUGCGUAGAGAUGUGGAGGAACACCAAUGGCGAAGGCAGCCCCCUGGGUCGAUACUGACGCUCAUGCACGAAAGCGUGGGUAGCAAACAGGAUUAGAUACCCUGGUAGUCCACGCCCUAAACUAUGUCAACUAGGUGUUGGGUGGGUAAAACCAUUUAGUACCGUAGCUAACGCGUGAAGUUGACCGCCUGGGGAGUACGGCCGCAAGGUUAAAACUCAAAGGAAUUGACGGGGACCCGCACAAGCGGUGGAUGAUGUGGAUUAAUUCGAUGCAACGCGAAAAACCUUACCUACCCUUGACAUGCCAGGAACUUGCCAGAGAUGGCUUGGUGCCCGAAAGGGAGCCUGGACACAGGUGCUGCAUGGCUGUCGUCAGCUCGUGUCGUGAGAUGUUGGGUUAAGUCCCGCAACGAGCGCAACCCUUGUCGUUAAUUGCCAUCAUUUAGUUGGGCACUUUAACGAGACUGCCGGUGACAAACCGGAGGAAGGUGGGGAUGACGUCAAGUCCUCAUGGCCCUUAUGGGUAGGGCUUCACACGUCAUACAAUGGUCGGUACAAAGGGUUGCCAAGCCGCGAGGCGGAGCCAAUCCCAGAAAGCCGAUCGUAGUCCGGAUUGCAGGCUGCAACUCGCCUGCAUGAAGUCGGAAUCGCUAGUAAUCGUGGAUCAGCAUGUCACGGUGAAUACGUUCCCGGGUCUUGUACACACCGCCCGUCACACCAUGGGAGCGGGUUCCGCCAGAAGUAGGUAGCCUAACCGCAAGGGGGGCGCUUACCACGGCGGGGCUCGUGACUGGGGUGAAGUCGUAACAAGGUAGCCGUAGGGGAACCUGCGGCUG